RNAcentral lists this ribosomal RNA (253 nucleotides) under uncultured prokaryote. RNAcentral describes it as "partial 16S ribosomal RNA". It matches the Rfam family "Bacterial small subunit ribosomal RNA", at positions 524 to 776 of the family's 1533-position model. The record is from RNAcentral.
UACAGAGGUCCCGAGCGUUGUUCGGAUUCACUGGGCGUAAAGGGUGCGUAGGCGGCUUUGAAAGUCUGAUGUGAAAUCUCCAGGCCCAACCUGGAAAUGGCAUUAGAAACUACAGGGCUGGAGGCUUGGAGGGGGAACUGGAAUUCUCGGUGUAGCAGUGAAAUGCGUAGAGAUCGAGAGGAACACCAGUGGCGAAGGCGAGUUCCUGGACAAGACCUGACGCUGAGGCACGAAAGCCAGGGGAGCAAACAGG